AUUGAACGCUGGCGGCAUGCCUUACACAUGCAAGUCGAACGGCAGCACGGACUUCGGUCUGGUGGCGAGUGGCGAACGGGUGAGUAAUGUAUCGGAACGUACCUUUCAGUGGGGGAUAACGUAGCGAAAGUUACGCUAAUACCGCAUAUUCUGUGAGCAGGAAAGCAGGGGAUCGCAAGACCUUGCGCUGAUUGAGCGGCCGAUAUCAGAUUAGCUAGUUGGUGGGGUAAAGGCCUACCAAGGCUACGAUCUGUAGCGGGUCUGAGAGGAUGAUCCGCCACACUGGAACUGAGACGCGGCCCAGACUCCUACGGGAGGCAGCAGUGGGGAAUAUUGGACAAUGGGGGCAACCCUGAUCCAGCGACGCCGCGUGUGUGAAGAAGGCCUGCGGGUUGUAAAGCACUUUUAGUGGGGAGGAAGGUCUGCGACCUAACACGUCGUGGAAUUGACUUAACCCACAGAAAAAGCAACCGGCUAACUCUGUGCCAGCA
This 491-nucleotide ribosomal RNA is filed under the name uncultured bacterium. RNAcentral's name for it is "bacterial SSU rRNA". It matches the Rfam family "Bacterial small subunit ribosomal RNA", at positions 30 to 513 of the family's 1533-position model. The record is from RNAcentral.